Long non-coding RNA from Prunus avium (sweet cherry), 769 nucleotides. RefSeq lists it as uncharacterized. Lineage: Eukaryota; Viridiplantae; Streptophyta; Magnoliopsida; Rosales; Rosaceae. The record is from RefSeq and is a predicted model, not a curated record.
AUCAUUAAAAUAUAUUAGAUUAGAAUACCGUCAGAUUUCAACCCCCCUUCAUCUUCUCUGCACUGCAAAACUCAGCCGCUUCAUCUUCUUCGCUUUGCAUAACUCAGCGGAGAUACUUGUAUCUGUACUAUUUUCAUGUAUGCAAAACUCAACUCAUGCAUCUAUUUCGUUCGUUGGCCGCUGGUUUGUCAGAAAAAGAGAAGGAAAAAGGUUGAUUUGCUAGUUUAAUUUUAUGACGGAGAUGACGAUGAUUUGGAAGCCACUUCAUCUUCUCUGCUCUUUCAGCGAAGGCCACCAGUUGCAAUUCAGUUUCGAAAUUGGUCAACAAGGACGAUGCCGGCUCUGUGGUAAGUGAGGAAGGUUUUCCUUGGACUCCAACGUCUGGUACUCUAGUGUGCCAUUUUUCUGUUGCGACCAAGCAAAGUGGUUUUGCUUCAUCUAGCCAUUCUUCCACGAUUCCUACUCAAUCUUGGGUACAAGUUUCUGGUUGUAGCCUUGCACUCCAACUGUUCGAUGCAAUGCUGAGCUCAUGUGGGUUAUUCCAGGGUGGCUGUGUUAAUAGUUUUGCUAGGUUUCUCUUUUCAGUUAAAUUAUAGUUUUAUGAAUUUCAGAAGAAAAUAAAUAAUUAAAACAAUCCCAGACCAGUGGAGUUUGAGAAAUUGAGAGUGGUUGUGAAGUGAAGCUGUAUGGAAUGAAUAUUGAAAUGAAGCUUGUAAUGCAAUUGUAAUAUUGAGUGUGUUCGUACUUUGUAGGGAUGGUUUUUUUUUUU